This is a long non-coding RNA of Nilaparvata lugens (brown planthopper), 570 nucleotides long. RefSeq lists it as uncharacterized. The transcript has 5 exons. The record is from RefSeq and is a predicted model, not a curated record. NCBI's taxonomy places the organism in Eukaryota, Metazoa, Arthropoda, Insecta, Hemiptera, Delphacidae.
AAAACUUUGCUAGUAGAGUGUCGAUUUUCUGUGCUUUUGGAAUAUUUAAAUUAAUAACUAACUUUCUUUGUGUGAAUUGAACUACAACACAAUACGAAGCUAAAUUUACUAUAAUUUUGGCAGCUAAUUAUAGGAACACCGAAUGAAGAGAUCAGUUUGGUUGUGGUGAGGACAUGGAAUGUUGGAGUUUGCAGAUUGCCAUACUGAUUCACUCCUGUCAUGGACUAAAGCUUUCAAGUAUGGCACUUGACAGGGAUGAACUGGAUGGACUCUUCUAGAUAGCUGGGGCUGGAGAUACAUGACAACAUUUCUCAGUGCCAUGCAUCGAUGCUGAUAUGAGCUGGAGGACAUCCUCAUGUGACAUGAGUCAUCGACCUGAGCCUUCAAGUGUGGCUAUUGACAGCUGAUUGGUGGAGUGUAUGGAUGCUGAUGUGAGCUGGAUGGGUGGGCGGGCUUUGGUCUUCCUGAUGUCAUGUCCCGAAGAUUUUGAGUAGGACUUGACAGCUGGUGAUGGAGAUUAAGAACUUCAAGGCGAUAUGAGUGAACAGCAUAGGCAGAGAUUUGGACAGG